GGAAAUUCUGAAGCUUUGUCCUGCCUGAACAUUGGUAACAUUAUACAAGGUCUCAAGCUUUGAUACUGUUGACUUUCUUCAGAAGCAUACUGCACCCGCAGGAUGGCGCGCAGCCAACAGUUUUGAACGAAGGUAAGGAAUCUGGAGACAAUUGAGUUGAGUGGUAACAACUAGUCCAUAGGAUCUGAAGAAAAGAAUGCCGAGCCAGAAAAGGACAAAUUUACUAAUAGCAGACGAACUGAGAAGCUAUGCUAAGGUACCCAUGCUAAACGCCAAGUUGAGAAAGCAAAGCAGACAGAAAAGGAAAAUCAAUCAUCUGCAAUGGAAGAUGAUAUUGAUAUGGAUGGUGAUUAUGAUUUUGAGGUAGUCUACAUCAGGUGACUGUGUGCCGUGGACACUGGCGAUGAAGAUGGGGGGAGUCAUGGAAGUGUUUUGAGCAUAAGCGAUCUUCCCUUAUAUUCAACCCUGCGCAAAGAGGGAACAUCUAUCUGUGGAAGGGACUUCAUUCAAGGUUGAUGUAAAUAUAAAGAAUAGGGGGCAUCUUUUUUAUUUUUAUUUUUAUUUUUAUUUUUUUCAUAGGUACAUUUACUAAAAAUAAUUGUCAAUAUUUUUCUUUGUGAAUUUUGACCGCAUUACAUUGUGUGAGUUUUGGUUUAUUUUGAUGUAUAUUCAGAACUUUUGGUUGAUUGAGAUUUAUUAACUAUUAUCAA
Olea europaea var. sylvestris is the source of this 710-nucleotide long non-coding RNA. RefSeq lists it as uncharacterized. Lineage: Eukaryota; Viridiplantae; Streptophyta; Magnoliopsida; Lamiales; Oleaceae. The record is from RefSeq and is a predicted model, not a curated record. The transcript is spliced from 2 exons.